UUUCAACGAAAGGGAUACGCCAGAGUAAUUUGGAUUAAUUACCUUAUAGUAAUACGACUUGGCAUCAAGAUGUAUUUAAAGAUUUAUCGGUGAAAGAUGAGCAUGCGUCCCAUUAGCUUGUUGGUAAGGUAACGGCUUACCAAGGCAACGAUGGGUAGGGGUCCUGAGAGGGAGAUCCCCCACACUGGUACUGAGACACGGACCAGACUCCUACGGGAGGCAGCAGUGAGGAAUAUUGGACAAUGGGCGCAAGCCUGAUCCAGCCAUGCCGCGUGCAGGAUGACGGUCCUAUGGAUUGUAAACUGCUUUUGUACAGGAAGAAACCCUUUCACGUGUGGAAGAUUGACGGUACUGUAAGAAUAAGGAUCGGCUAACUCCGUG
Molecule: ribosomal RNA, 381 nt
Filed under: uncultured bacterium
Lineage: Bacteria
Description: bacterial SSU rRNA
Rfam family: Bacterial small subunit ribosomal RNA
Source: RNAcentral